AGGAAAUGGGAGACAGGGUGCUUCUCCCUCGUCCUAGGGGACUAAAUGCAGCUGCUGGGAUAAGGCUGGGUGAUGGGGCCCUCUGCUGAUAAGAGAGAGAAAAAAAAAUGCCCAGAGAAAAUGGCAUUGGUUCCUAAUAUGGAGUGGAGAGCAUGCAUCAGAUGGCCUGUCCAUGGCCAAGCUGUCUCUGUGUCAUGGGCACAAGGAAGAGGUUAAAAAGUCUUGUUGCCUGAGUUUGUCUGGUAUCUGAAUAAACUGAAGUUAGUAAUUUUGCUUCCAUUUCUCCAGACUAUACUGACUGUUGGAAAAACUUUAUCCAAGGAGGUGCUGAUGGUGAUUUCUGGACCGGGGACUUUCAAUCGGCAGUAAAAAAGAAUCAUUUGAAGCUCAAGAACAUCUUUGAGGAUCUUCCAUUAAUAGAAUAUCUCAGCUUGGAAGGCACCCAUGAGGAUCAUUGAGUCCAACUCCCUGCUCCUCGCAGGACUACCUAAAACUAAACCAUAUGACUAAAAGUGUCGUCCAGACGCUCCUUGAACUCUGACAGGCUUGGUGCCGUGACCGCUUCCCUGGGGAGGCUGUUCAGUGACCGACCACCCUCUCAGUGAAGAACCUUUUCCUAAUGUCCAAGCUGAACUUCCCCUGACGCAGCUUCAUUUCAUUUCCUCUUGUUGUACGAUUUGGUGUACUACUUACAUAGAACUUGUUUAGCAUAACUUGCUCAGCAUUAAUAGCUGAAUUUGCUGAAGCCUUAGGCCGCAAGCUGUGAACUUUCAGCUAGAUAUGUUGAACUUUUACCUAGUCAAGUAAAAGAAGGCUCCAGAGCUGGUUCAAGGCAGAAUAUAAGGAAGCUACAUUCAUUAACAAAAGCUAGAACCUUAGAGAUAAGAAAAUAAACGGCCCGCCUAGACACAACGUAGGGACCCAAUGAAGAACAGGAAGACCCCAGUCCCUGAUAUUACCACUGGUCCAAACUGUUGCAUGAGGGGUGGGGAAUUUAGAUUGUAAGGGUAUAAUUGCCCAGGGAUUUCUUUGUUCAAGGUCCCUUUUCAGAGGCACCCAGCUCGAGCUGUAGCGCUAUUAAUAAAAAGUACUUUUAUAGAGGAAUCU
Long non-coding RNA from Harpia harpyja (harpy eagle), 1107 nucleotides. RefSeq lists it as uncharacterized. The record is from RefSeq and is a predicted model, not a curated record. NCBI's taxonomy places the organism in Eukaryota, Metazoa, Chordata, Aves, Accipitriformes, Accipitridae. The transcript is spliced from 2 exons.